This 275-nucleotide long non-coding RNA is filed under the name Selaginella moellendorffii. RNAcentral's name for it is "long non-coding RNA (SMOE_LNC002479)". Lineage: Eukaryota; Viridiplantae; Streptophyta; Lycopodiopsida; Selaginellales; Selaginellaceae. The record is from RNAcentral.
GAAGACAAGAAGGUUGCAGGCGUGGCAUUGCGAUGGGGGAGGCGGCGUUGCUGUAGCAGUAUCCAGAUUACCUAUGGAGCACAAGCGUCCUGGAGUCUGAGACGGCGUGCUUUGGAUUGUUGACAGGUAACUGGAUUGCAUUCAUUUUAACAGAGCAUGAUCAUUUGUGGAUGUGCACUUCGUAUGACAGGUUCAUGGUUUAUCCACCAAUGUCUUGCUGCUCACGGAAAUUAUCUAUCGCUGUGAAAUGGUAUGCUUUACUGAUUGGUAGUACU